AGUGAACGCUGGCGGUAGGCCUAACACAUGCAAGUCGAACGGCAGCCCAGUAAGAGCUUGCUCUUACGGGUGGCGAGUGGCGGACGGGUGCGGAAUACAUCGGAAUCUACUUUUUCGUGGGGGAUAACGUAGGGAAACUUACGCUAAUACCGCAUACGACCUACGGGUGAAAGAAGGGGAUCUUCGGACCUUGCGCGAUUGAAUGAGCCGAUGUCGGAUUAGCUAGUUGGCGGGGUAAAGGCCCACCAAGGCGACGAUCCGUAGCUGGUCUGAGAGGAUGAUCAGCCACACUGGAACUGAGACACGGUCCAGACUCCUACGGGAGGCAGCAGAGGGGAAUAUUGGACAAUGGGCGCAAGCCUGAUCCAGCCAUACCGCGUGGGUGAAGAAGGCCUUCGGGUUGUAAAGCCCUUUUGUUGGGAAAGAAAAGCAGCAGGUUAAUACCCCGCUGUUCUGACGGUACCCAAAGAAUAAGCACCGGCUAACUUCGUG
Molecule: ribosomal RNA, 492 nt
Filed under: uncultured bacterium
Lineage: Bacteria
Description: partial 16S ribosomal RNA
Rfam family: Bacterial small subunit ribosomal RNA
Source: RNAcentral